UGAUGGUGGUGAGGGUAAUUUCUGAGCAUACCUUUAAAUCUCUCCCAAGCUUGGUAGAGAUUCUCUCUUUUCUUUCUAAAACUUAGAAUAUCACUUCUCAAACG
Molecule: non-coding RNA, 104 nt
Organism: Capsicum annuum
Lineage: Eukaryota; Viridiplantae; Streptophyta; Magnoliopsida; Solanales; Solanaceae
Source: Rfam